RNAcentral lists this small RNA (127 nucleotides) under Marmota monax (woodchuck). Lineage: Eukaryota; Metazoa; Chordata; Mammalia; Rodentia; Sciuridae. The record is from RNAcentral.
GCUGGGCAUAGUGGUGCACGCCUAUAAUUCCAAUGGUUUUGGAGGCUGAGACAGGAGGAUUACGAGUUCAAAGGCAGCCUCAGUAACUUAGCGAGGUCCUAAGCAACUCAGUGAGACCCUGUCUCUA